This 72-nucleotide microRNA precursor is filed under the name Drosophila simulans. RNAcentral describes it as "Dsi-Mir-87-P2-v1_pre stem-loop". It matches the Rfam family "mir-87 microRNA precursor family". The record is from RNAcentral. Lineage: Eukaryota; Metazoa; Arthropoda; Insecta; Diptera; Drosophilidae.
UCGCGCCUGUAUCUUGCUGAACCGCUGCCAUCAUGGCCAACGAUCCGGUUGAGCAAAAUUUCAGGUGUGUGA